GGGGAAUAUUGCACAAUGGGCGAAAGCCUGAUGCAGCAACGCCGCGUGAGUGAUGAAGGUUUUCGGAUCGUAAAACUCUGUCCUCAAGGAAGAUAAUGACGGUACUUGAGGAGGAAGCCCCGGCUAACUACGUGCCAGCAGCCGCGGUAAUACGUAGGGGGCUAGCGUUAUCCGGAUUUACUGGGCGUAAAGGGUGCGUAGGCGGUCUUUCAAGUCAGAAGUUAAAUUCUACGGCUCAACCGUAGCCAGCUUUUGAAACUGGAAGACUUGAGUGCAGGAGAGGAGAGUAGAAUUCCUAGUGUAGCGGUGAAAUGCGUAGAUAUUAGGAGGAAUACCAGUAGCGAAGGCGGCUCUCUGGACUGUAACUGACGCUGAGGCACGAAAGCGUGGGGAGCGAAC
RNAcentral lists this ribosomal RNA (399 nucleotides) under uncultured bacterium. Its description in RNAcentral is "bacterial SSU rRNA". It matches the Rfam family "Bacterial small subunit ribosomal RNA", at positions 356 to 773 of the family's 1533-position model. The record is from RNAcentral.